AGAAGAGGUACAGUACAGAUGUUGACCUGGAAAAGACGGGGUUGAAGAGAGGAGGUACAGUACAGAUGUUGACCUGGAAAAGACGGGGUUGAAGAGAAGCCUGGACUCCCAAAUGAACAUUGUUCCAAAUCACUUUUGUUACAACAGAUCGAUAGUUGGAUUUCAGGCUAUUUAAGGAGAAGUAUGAAAGGGGAAAGUGAUGACAAUGGGGAUGAAGAGGAACAUGAGGAAGAGGAGCAGGAAGAAGAGGGCAGCGUCUGUGUAAACGGAUAGUAGAAAAACUGCCAUGCUAAGUGAAAGAGUGAACCACACUGACCUAGCAGCAACAUUUCGCUUCAUAAAUAUAAAAAUGAUAGAAAUACAUCAACAAGUAAACAAACCACAAAAGUCCACUUCAAUAGUGAUAAUGAAUGACAGGUAGCCAGUCCACUUCAAUAGUGAUAAUGAAUGACAGGUAGCCAGUCCACUUCAAUAGUGAUAAUGAAUGACAGGUAGCCAGUCCACUUCAAUAGUGAUAAUGAAUGACAGGUAGCCAGUCCGCUUCAGUAGUGAUAAUGAAUGACAGGUAGCCAGUCCACUUCAGUAGUGAUAAUGAAUGUAUAUUUAAAGAAAUAUAUCAAAUGUAUAUUCCAGAAUGUAGGAAAGUUAUUGGGUGUUAGUAACUGGGCUGUUGCAUCGUGACGUCUUGAGGGUUGUUAGAGCUAUUUAUGUCUGUUUGGUAACAUUUUAUCCACCUGUAUAAUAACAGUAAUUUAAUCAUAUGUUGUUACAGUAUAUCCAGUUGAAUGUUACUCUGUGUCAGAUGAGGGAAAACAACAUCACAUUACUAUAGUGUGAAGCUACAGCAGAGACUAGAAUUUAACUAAACUAAAUAUCCCCCAAAACACAAAAUACACAACAUAUACUUAAUCAUAUAUAAGCAUAUACGCCUCUGGUAGUUAAACUGAGCCAUCACCAUCAUCUGCAAAAGUACAUCCUCUUUCACCACAUAAAAAUAUUAAAAAAUCUUCUUAACCGUUCUUAUUCCUUUGUCCUGGUUAUUUUUCCUGAGUUUUACAAACAGCUCCUUUGAUUCCAUCCUUCAGUCACUGAGGACUUACAGUACCAGUCAAAAGCUUGGACACACCUACUCAUUCAAGGGUUUUUCUUUCUUUUUACUAGUUUCUACAU
Molecule: long non-coding RNA, 1170 nt
Filed under: Salmo salar (Atlantic salmon)
Lineage: Eukaryota; Metazoa; Chordata; Actinopteri; Salmoniformes; Salmonidae
Description: lncRNA (ENSSSAG00000102752.1, ENSSSAG00000110722.1)
Source: RNAcentral